This 392-nucleotide ribosomal RNA is filed under the name uncultured bacterium. Its description in RNAcentral is "partial 16S ribosomal RNA". It matches the Rfam family "Bacterial small subunit ribosomal RNA", at positions 523 to 918 of the family's 1533-position model. The record is from RNAcentral.
AUACGGAGGAUCCGAGCGUUAUCCGGAUUUAUUGGGUUUAAAGGGUGCGCAGGCGGCCAUUUAAGUCAGCGGUUAAAUCGUGGGGCUCAACCCCAUUCUGCCGUUGAUACUGGGUGGCUUGAUUGCGGUCGAGGUUGGCGGAAUUCGUUGUGUAGCGGUGAAAUGCAUAGAUAUGACGAAGAACACCGAUUGCGUAGGCAGCUGACCAGAUCGCAAAUGACGCUCAUGCACGAAAGUGCGGGGAUCGAACAGGAUUAGAUACCCUGGUAGUCCGCACAGUAAACGAUGAAUACUUGUUUUCGGCGAUAUAAUGUCGGAGGCAAGGCGAAAGCGAUAAGUAUUCCACCUGGGGAGUACGCCGGCAACGGUGAAACUCAAAGGAAUUGACGGGG